AACUGAGUAUAAUGCCCGAUAGAACACUAUACCUGGAAUGGUUUGUGUUCCAAAUGAAUGUCGCCGUAGGAUGGGACUGCGGCCUAUCAGUUUGUUGGUGAGGUAAUGGCCCACCAAGACUAUUACAGGUACGGGCUCUGAGAGGAGUAGCCCGGAGAUGGGUACUGAGACACGGACCCAGGCCCUAUGGGGCGCAGCAGGCGAGAAAACUUUGCAAUGUGCGAAAGCACGACAAGGUUAAUCCGAGUGGUUUGUGCUAAACGAACCUUUUGACAGUCCUAGAAACACUGUUGAAUAAGGGGUGGGCAAGUUCUGGUGUCAGCCGCCGCGGUAAAACCAGCACCUCAAGUGGUCAGGAUGAUUAUUGGGCCUAAAGCAUCCGUAGCCGGCUCUGUAAGUUUUCGGUUAAAUCUGUACGCUCAACGUACAGGCUGCCGGGAAUACUGCAGAGCUAGGGAGUGGGAGAGGUAGACGGUACUCGGUAGGAAGGGGUAAAAUCCUUUGAUCUAUUGAUGACCACCUGUGGCGAAGGCGGUCUACCAGAACACGUCCGACGGUGAGGGAUGAAAGCUGGGGGAGCAAACCGGAUUAGAUACCCGGGUAGUCCCAGCUGUAAACUAUGCAAACUCAGUGAUGCAUUGGCUUGUGGCCAAUGCAGUGCUGCAGGGAAGCCGUUAAGUUUGCCGCCUGGGAAGUACGUACGCAAGUAUGAAACUUAAAGGAAUUGGCGGGGGAGCACCACAAGGGGUGAAGCCUGCGGUUC
Molecule: ribosomal RNA, 763 nt
Filed under: uncultured bacterium
Lineage: Bacteria
Description: bacterial SSU rRNA
Rfam family: Archaeal small subunit ribosomal RNA
Source: RNAcentral